This 29-nucleotide non-coding RNA is filed under the name Homo sapiens (human). The record is from RNAcentral. Lineage: Eukaryota; Metazoa; Chordata; Mammalia; Primates; Hominidae.
UGGGGAUGGAACUCUAACUAGGUGACACC